AACGACCGGCCGGACACGUGUGUGCCCGGCCCGCAAGUGGAGGCUCCGAUCUCCCACCUGACCGUCCUCGCGGACGGCGGGUCACCGGUCAGACGGCCCCCAUCGUUCCGUACGGACGAUGGAGCCGUCCGAUGCGCCCCGCGGUUGACCGCGGCGGUGUUCCGGUAGUUCCUGGAGCCCCGCCUGUGUCCCGUCCGGGGCAUUUUCU
Streptomyces sp. MMG1522 is the source of this 208-nucleotide non-coding RNA. NCBI's taxonomy places the organism in Bacteria, Bacillati, Actinomycetota, Actinomycetes, Kitasatosporales, Streptomycetaceae. The record is from Rfam.